Long non-coding RNA from Sander lucioperca (pikeperch), 99 nucleotides. RefSeq lists it as uncharacterized. The transcript has 3 exons. The record is from RefSeq and is a predicted model, not a curated record. Lineage: Eukaryota; Metazoa; Chordata; Actinopteri; Perciformes; Percidae.
GCUCUGUCGAAACCUGCCUUCGACUUGCAGCGUCUGUGACGUCUGUCUCCGUUGCUCUGAUUGGUUGUAGGUCUAUCCAAUUGAGUUGGGGUGCACGAU